AGCUCCAAUAGCGUAUAUUAAAGUUGUUGCAGUUAAAAAGCUCGUAGUCUGAGUCUUGGCUGGCGGUGAGCGUCCGUGGCUCCUUUGUGGGUCACGCGCAUGCGAUAUUCUGUCUUGGCCAUUUGUACUUUGGAGGAACGCUGGUGCUUUUCAUUAAGUGCCUGUCUCGGGAUUCCAAUAGUUUACUUUGAGAAAAAUAGAGUGUUCAAAGCAGGCGUUUGUGCCACUUUUGAAUACAUUAGCAUGGGAUAAUAGAAUAGGACAUUGGUUCUAUUUUGUUGGUUUACGGACCGAUGUAAUGAUUAACAGGAACAGUUGGGGACAUUUAUAUUCCAUGGCUAGAGGUGAAAUUCUUGGAUUCAUGGAAGAUAAACUACUGCGAAAGCAUUUGUCAAAGAUGUUUUCA
Molecule: ribosomal RNA, 406 nt
Filed under: uncultured eukaryote
Lineage: Eukaryota
Description: SSU rRNA
Rfam family: Eukaryotic small subunit ribosomal RNA
Source: RNAcentral